GAUGAAGAACGCAGCGAAAUGCGAUACGUAAUGUGAAUUGCAAAUUCAGUGAAUCAUCGAGUCUUUGAACACACAUUGCGCCCCCUGGUAUUCCGGGGGGCAUGCCUGUCCGAGCGUCAUUGCUGCCCUCAAGCACGGCUUGUGUGUUGGGCCCCGUCCUCCGAUCCCGGGGGACGGGCCCGAAAGGCAGCGGCGGCACCGCGUCCGGUCCUCGAGCGUAUGGGGCUUUGUCACCCGCUCUGUAGGCCCGGCCGGCGCUUGCCGAUCAACCCAAAUUUUUAUCCAGGUUGACCUCGGAUCAGGUAGGGAUACCCGCUGAACUUAAGCAUAUCAAUAAGCGGAGGA
RNAcentral lists this unclassified non-coding RNA (345 nucleotides) under soil metagenome. Its description in RNAcentral is "partial contains 5.8S ribosomal RNA, internal transcribed spacer 2, and large subunit ribosomal RNA". The stretch from base 1 to 119 matches the Rfam family "5.8S ribosomal RNA", at positions 35 to 154 of the family's 154-position model. The record is from RNAcentral.